AUUGAACGCUGGCGGCAUGCCUUACACAUGCAAGUCGAGCGGCAGCGCGGGGGCAACCCUGGCGGCGAGCGGCGCACGGGUGAGUAAUACAUCGGAACGUGUCCUUUCGUGGGGGAUAACCAGUCGAAAGACUGGCUAAUACCGCAUGAGAUCUCACGAUGAAAGCGGGGGACCGCAAGGCCUCGCGCGAUUGGAGCGGCCGAUGUCGGAUUAGCUAGUGGCGGGGUAAAAGCCCACCAAGGCGACGAUCCGUAGCUGGUUUGAGAGAACGACCAGCCACACAGGGACUGAGACACGGCCCAGACUCCUACGGGAGGCAGCAGUGGGGAAUUUUGGACAAUGGGGGCAACCCUGAUCCAGCCAUGCCGCGUGUGUGAAGAAGGCCU
RNAcentral lists this ribosomal RNA (386 nucleotides) under uncultured bacterium. RNAcentral's name for it is "bacterial SSU rRNA". It matches the Rfam family "Bacterial small subunit ribosomal RNA", at positions 29 to 417 of the family's 1533-position model. The record is from RNAcentral.